Molecule: ribosomal RNA, 468 nt
Filed under: uncultured bacterium
Lineage: Bacteria
Description: partial 16S ribosomal RNA
Rfam family: Bacterial small subunit ribosomal RNA
Source: RNAcentral
GACGAACGCUGGCGGCGUGCUUAACACAUGCAAGUCGAACGGAAAGGCCCUGCUUUUGUGGGGUGCUCGAGUGGCGAACGGGUGAGUAACACGUGAGUCACCUUCCCUUGACUUUGGGAUAACUUCAGGAAACUGGGGCUAAUACCGGAUAGGAGCUCCUGCUGCAUGGUGGGGGUUGGAAAGUUUCGGCGGUUGGGGAUGGACUCGCGGCUUAUCAGCUUGUUGGUGGGGUAGUGGCUUACCAAGGCUUUGACGGGUAGCCGGCCUGAGAGGGUGACCGGCCACAUUGGGACUGAGAUACGGCCCAGACUCCUACGGGAGGCAGAAGUGGGGAAUAUUGCACAAUGGGCGGAAGCCUGAUGCAGCAACGCCGCGUGCGGGAUGACGGCCUUCGGGUUGUAAACCGCUUUCGCCUGUGACGAAGCGUGAGUGACGGUAAUGGGUAAAGAAGCACCGGCUAACUACGUG